ACUGCUCCUUAAAAAUAAACAAAGCCCCACUGCUGUUCAAUACAAGACAUCCUCUCACAGGUCAGCUGGGGCCAAUGCAUGCUAUCUUCACAUCCCUCCUGAUGCAUACCUGCUGAGCAAAAGCCUGUGCAGGAAGGAGUUAAACGAUGAGGGAAAAAAAAGAGGUCUGGUGCCCCAUCUGAAUCCCAGGAGGUAGGCAAUAAAGCAGUAGAACUGGAAGUAGGCAUGAAAAAGUAGGAUACCAUAGCAAUUUGGAAUUUAUCAGACCACUGGAAUGUCACGAUGGAUAAACACUGUAGAGAAGGGAACUGAAGGAGUGGGUGAAUUAGGGCGAGAUCAGGCGAUCAACAUAGACUAUAUAUUCUGAAUAAAGAGCCUGCAACUGGGAAAAAUAAUAUCUGUUGUUGUGGAAUGUAAUUUCUGUAGAAAAACCAACUCUAUCCAGAAAUGAAAGCAUAGCCUUCAGCUCAUCCUCCACACCAGCAAAUGGCUGUCCUAGAUUAGAAGGUGAAAGAGAACAGGUGAUGACAUGUUUAAAGUAGAUCAUGAGUGCCUCUGAGACAGCUGACACCAAGCAGAGAGCAUGGAGGAGUUCUCCCUCUGAAAAACUGGAUAUGGAUUUUGCGAGCAGGAGAGAAGCCCAGAUGCAUGAGCAUGGCAUGCAGCAGCAGAUGCUGGGGAUUCUGAAGGAACAGACAGACAUGUUGGGACAUCUAGUAGAACUUCUGGAGAAACACCAUGAGGGUAGACUCCCUCCGCAGCCCCUGCAGAAAGGCAUUCCUGCAUAGACAUAUUCCCUUUCCCCCUCUCCCAAACUUUCCAGGAGGCAAGGGGGUGGGGGCGGUGUGAGAGAAAAGCUCUCUCUCUUCUACUCCAUACCAGAGAAGGGUACUAGCAAUAAAAGGCUACUGUAUCUAAAAGACUAGAUCAAUGUGUUUUUCUCCUUCAAAUUUUAUUCUAAUGACUGUCCAAGGUUACAUUCUUUUUUUUUGAUCUUUCACUUCCAAUAUGUUUGUGCAAUAAAAGUCCAGGUCCUGAGAAUGAAAUAAUCGUUAUUAGUUCACACCAUGAGGGAAGGAUA
Molecule: long non-coding RNA, 1081 nt
Organism: Gopherus evgoodei (Goodes thornscrub tortoise)
Lineage: Eukaryota; Metazoa; Chordata; Testudines; Testudinidae
Exons: 3
Source: RefSeq, a predicted model, not a curated record